Cebus imitator (Panamanian white-faced capuchin) is the source of this 253-nucleotide long non-coding RNA. RefSeq lists it as uncharacterized. Lineage: Eukaryota; Metazoa; Chordata; Mammalia; Primates; Cebidae. The transcript has 3 exons. The record is from RefSeq and is a predicted model, not a curated record.
GCCCAGAGGGAGCGGUCAGUGACGGCUGUGGAAGGAGGGAGGUCCUGGGCGGCGGCGCGGAAGCCGAGCCUCUGGACCUCUGAGCUGGAGGCUGGCCAAGGUGGGGGCUCCCCCACUGAGGGCGCGCCUCAGGGAGUGGACAGGGACCGGCGGGACCCUGCUUUGUUUCAGUCUCAUUGAGGUCCACCUCCUAGCAAAUGAUUGCAAGGAAUAUGAGAAAAAUAGAGUUUCAUUCUUGUCACCCAGUCUGGAG